GUAGGUGGCAAGCGUUGUCCGGAGUUAUUGGGCGUAAAGCGCGCGCAGGUGGUUCGUUUAAGUCUGAUGUGAAAGACCCCCGGGCUCAACCGGGGAGGGUCAUUGGAAACUGGGGAACUUGAGUGCAGGAGAGGAAAGUGGAAUUCCACGUGUAGCGGUGAAAUGCGUAGAUAUGUGGAGGAACACCAGUGGCGAAGGCGACUUUCUGGCCUGUAACUGACACUGAGGCGCGAAAGCGUGGGGAGCAAACAGGAUUAGAUACCCUGGUAGUCCACGCCGUAAACGAUGAGUGCUAAGUGUUGGGGGGUUUCCGCCCCUCAGUGCUGCAGCUAACGCAUUAAGCACUCCGCCUGGGGUGUACGGUCGCAAAGACUG
Molecule: ribosomal RNA, 375 nt
Filed under: uncultured organism
Description: partial 16S ribosomal RNA
Rfam family: Bacterial small subunit ribosomal RNA
Source: RNAcentral